AUCAAGCCACAAUACUCUGCUGCUCCAUAUGUGCACUGCUUGAACUUGUCCAGCUGCCUCCUUGCUUGUUUUGAUCAUUCAACUCUUAUACAUUGUUGUUUCAAUCUUGAAGACUAGAACUGGCUACUGCAGAACUUGUUUUCUGCUAUGGAACAAUUUGUAUUCAGCAAUUGAUUUGCAAUCAGAUGUAGGCUUAAGGAUCUGCACGUUGCCUAGCUCAAUGAUCUUAUGAAACCGUGGUUGUUGGCUUAUACCAGUAGUUCCCAAUUAAUUUUGCACAUCUGCAACAUAUCAUAAUCCAGCAGAUACAACAAUGAAUUAGUGUAGUGGUUACUUCGAAAAAUUUGGUUCAGUGCAGUUUAUAAUUUUGCCAAACUGAUCAAAUAGUGUGUUAGGCUAAUGAGAAUAAGUUCAGCACAUUGAUUGAAACAAAGCUUCUUAAAAUCAGAUUUUAAUCAGCUAUACAGAGUUCAAUUCAGUGGUAUUUGGAUUUGUCAGAAUGUUGCUGCACUGCUGCAGUCCUUGAAGAUUAUCCUUUUGUUCAGCUUCGCAAUUGCCUGAAUUAACUUAAUCAUCAAAUAGAAGAGGGUUAGAUGCAGUGACAGUAACCAAUAUAAUAAGAAUUGUAGCAGCUUAAAACUGAUCACUCAUUUUCUCAACAAAGGUAGCUUGGCUUUUAGGUGCAGCCACUCAAAUCUCACUUCCUGGACCGUUUCAGGUUAUUUUCACUGCACUAGCAAGUUUCUUUUGGAUGAUAUACACUCAAUCUCACCAACACUCAACUCUUUGGCUUGUAUCUCAAUAUUUGGGUGGUGAAGUUGCCAAAAAUUCAGUGUUUUAUGCUACUGAAAAGUGAAAAUUAUGCUUGCUGGACAGCACAUUUGAAUUCCAAAAUUCAGGUUCCUCUCCACUUCCUAAGAUGCUACCUUAGUAGGGAAAGGGUUCUACAACUUGAAUUAACCAAUUAGACUUAACAAAACCAUAGAAAUCAUCCAAACAGUCACCAAACAGAUUAGAAAUCUGCACCAGUUUCAACACCAUAAUUUGACUUGAUUUGGACAAUUUAAGAGGCCAAAAAGCUUAAAAGCAAUAAAAAUAGGAUUAGAACAGAAGUAGGCACUCAAAUGGAUCCUAAGAAUAGGACUAGAGUGGAUGAAGAAAGCAAUAAAAACGCAAAUGGCAGAUCACAAACUCAUCCAGACCAAACUGUUUGAUAUUUUACAAAAGUGUUUGUUAAAAUGCCCUAAUGAAAAUCAAAUUUUGUGUUUUGGGGUUUUAACUGCUUAAAUCUGGAUUGCAUGGUUCUACAAGCCUUUUAACACUUGCUUUUACUUUUUUGAUCAUUUAUUUUCAUUCUAUAACAAUGAACCAGCUCUUGUUGCAAUCCACAAACAAUUCUGCACAAUAGGAUCAAAAAACAGUGGCUUAAAAUAGUGUUCUGCACUAGAAAAACAAGUUGAUUUUGGUGGUUUGACAUCCAAUUUCGAAUGGAACUAUUUUAAACUCUCAAUUAACAAUUCAAGCAACUUUAAAUGAUGAUUUUAAGUGUGUUCAAACUUUAAAAUAAAGUCUAAUCUGCUGGUAACUCAAAAUCAUCAUUCCACUUCCAUUUUUAACCAAAAAUUGAUGGUUUCAAGUGCAAAUCUGUAUAUCAGCCAUGUUUUGACCAAAUGAACAAUGCUAACAACUUUAAACCAUCAAUUUGGACCUGCUCAAACUGUAAAACAGCCAAGAAACAGCAGCAACCGAAAUUCACCUCUGUUGUACCAAGUUAUGUAGUAAAUUGCAUCAACUCUUCCACCCAAAAUCAAUUUUAAUGGAAUCAAAAGUUGGACAGCAAAGAAAAUGACUCUAAGAAGUGUUAAUACAUUGAACAAAGCUAAGAUUGAAGUGCUUAGGAUGACCAAACUCAAAUUGAACCACUCAAGGAUGUUUAGCACGGUGAAAAGCUGGAAAAUAAAGCUGAAACAGUAAAAUGCUAGUGUUUAUGCACAACCAAGCUAUGCAAAUUGCAUUUCAUUGCUUGUAAUGGUUUGCUACACUUUUAGCAUCAUUCAACAACAUCAACCAAACUUGUGCAAGGCACCAGAAUCAAAUAAAACAAGC
Molecule: long non-coding RNA, 2106 nt
Filed under: Vigna radiata
Lineage: Eukaryota; Viridiplantae; Streptophyta; Magnoliopsida; Fabales; Fabaceae
Description: long non-coding RNA (VRAD_LNC009782)
Source: RNAcentral